RNAcentral lists this ribosomal RNA (624 nucleotides) under Staphylococcus aureus. Its description in RNAcentral is "bacterial SSU rRNA". It matches the Rfam family "Bacterial small subunit ribosomal RNA", at positions 220 to 836 of the family's 1533-position model. The record is from RNAcentral. Lineage: Bacteria; Bacillati; Bacillota; Bacilli; Caryophanales; Staphylococcaceae.
UAUAGAUGGAUCCGCGCUGCAUUAGCUAGUUGGUAAGGUAACGGCUUACCAAGGCAACGAUGCAUAGCCGACCUGAGAGGGUGAUCGGCCACACUGGAACUGAGACACGGUCCAGACUCCUACGGGAGGCAGCAGUAGGGAAUCUUCCGCAAUGGGCGAAAGCCUGACGGAGCAACGCCGCGUGAGUGAUGAAGGUCUUCGGAUCGUAAAACUCUGUUAUUAGGGAAGAACAUAUGUGUAAGUAACUGUGCACAUCUUGACGGUACCUAAUCAGAAAGCCACGGCUAACUACGUGCCAGCAGCCGCGGUAAUACGUAGGUGGCAAGCGUUAUCCGGAAUUAUUGGGCGUAAAGCGCGCGUAGGCGGUUUUUUAAGUCUGAUGUGAAAGCCCACGGCUCAACCGUGGAGGGUCAUUGGAAACUGGAAAACUUGAGUGCAGAAGAGGAAAGUGGAAUUCCAUGUGUAGCGGUGAAAUGCGCAGAGAUAUGGAGGAACACCAGUGGCGAAGGCGACUUUCUGGUCUGUAACUGACGCUGAUGUGCGAAAGCGUGGGGAUCAAACAGGAUUAGAUACCCUGGUAGUCCACGCCGUAAACGAUGAGUGCUAAGUGUUAGGGGGUUUCCG